Molecule: ribosomal RNA, 292 nt
Filed under: uncultured bacterium
Lineage: Bacteria
Description: partial 16S ribosomal RNA
Rfam family: Bacterial small subunit ribosomal RNA
Source: RNAcentral
GUGCCAGCAGCCGCGGUAAGACAGAGGGUGCAAGCGUUGUUCGGAAUUAUUGGGCGUAAAGCGCACGUAGGCGGCUCGUUAAGUCGGGUGUGAAAGCCCGGGGCUCAACCCCGGAAGUGCACCGGAAACUGGCGAGCUCGAAUCCCGGAGAGGGUGGUGGAAUUCCUGGUGUAGAGGUGAAAUUCGUAGAUAUCAGGAGGAACACCCGAGGCGAAGGCGACCACCUGGACGGUGAUUGACGCUGAGGUGCGAAAGCGUGGGGAGCAAACAGGAUUAGAAACCCGAGUAGUCC